Small nucleolar RNA from Nannospalax galili (Upper Galilee mountains blind mole rat), 89 nucleotides. RefSeq annotates it as small nucleolar RNA U83B. NCBI's taxonomy places the organism in Eukaryota, Metazoa, Chordata, Mammalia, Rodentia, Spalacidae. The record is from RefSeq and is a predicted model, not a curated record. The transcript has a single exon.
GCUGCUCUGAAGUGGCCCUGGAACGUGUACUGGGUGCAGCAUCUGAGUGAGUAUGCAGAUCCAUUCCCUUGAGAUUCUGUUCAAGCAGU